GCUCACCAGUACCAACUGUUCGUCUCGGACAGGGCCAGCUCAGCUGCUGGAGGUCACAACCUGGUGGGAUGUUACAAUAAGCAAUCCGCAGCGGCUCAGCCGUCCACAGACUAAGUGGUUGUGGGUAGGUAACCCCUACUUAAGAUAUAGUCGGGCCCUGUGACAGGUCACAGGGGCUUCUGCGUCCGUAGGUGAACCUGCGGAAGGAUCAUUAAUAAAAGGAUACCUUCGGGUAUACCCCAUCCGUGUCUAUCUACUCUUGUUGCUUUGGCAGGCCGUGGUCUCCCACUGUGGGCUCUGCCUGCAUGUGCCUGCCAGAGGACCAAACUCUGAAUUUUAGUGAUGUCUGAGUACUAUAUAAUAGUUAAAACUUUCAACAACGGAUCUCUUGGUUCUGGCAUCGAUGAAGAACGCAGCGAAAUGCGAUAAGUAAUGUGAAUUGCAGAAUUCAGUGAAUCAUCGAAUCUUUGAACGCACAUUGCACCCGGUGGUAUUCCGCCGGGUAUGCCUGUUCGAGCGUCUGUAGAACAACACCAAGACCAAGCUUAUGCUUGAUUUUGAGGUUGCGGCUUCGGCUGCAGCCUUUAAGAGAGGUGGCGGCGUCCGAUGGACUCUAAGCGUAGUAAUUUCUCCUCGCUACAGAGUCUGCCGGCGCAUUUGGUACCCACUCCAAGCCAACCAAA
This 683-nucleotide ribosomal RNA is filed under the name Ascomycota sp. I118. Its description in RNAcentral is "eukaryotic LSU rRNA". The stretch from base 369 to 522 matches the Rfam family "5.8S ribosomal RNA". The record is from RNAcentral. Lineage: Eukaryota; Fungi; Ascomycota.